UGGGGAAUAUUGGACAAUGGGCGAAAGCCUGAUCCAGCCAUGCCGCGUGUGUGAAGAAGGUCUUCGGAUUGUAAAGCACUUUAAGUUGGGAGGAAGGGCAGUAAGCGAAUACCUUGCUGUUUUGACGUUACCGACAGAAUAAGCACCGGCUAACUCUGUGCCAGCAGCCGCGGUAAUACAGAGGGUGCAAGCGUUAAUCGGAAUUACUGGGCGUAAAGCGCGCGUAGGUGGUUCGUUAAGUUGAAUGUGAAAGCCCCGGGCUCAACCUGGGAACUGCAUCCAAAACUGGCGAGCUGGUGUAGGGCAGAGGGUGGUGGAAUUUCCUGUGUAGCGGUGAAAUGCGUAGAUAUAGGAAGGAACACCAGUGGCGAAGGCGACCACCUGCGCUCAUACUGACACUGAGGUGCGAAGGCGGGGGGAGCAAACAGG
Molecule: ribosomal RNA, 429 nt
Filed under: Pseudomonadota bacterium
Lineage: Bacteria; Pseudomonadati; Pseudomonadota
Description: Proteobacteria bacterium partial 16S ribosomal RNA
Rfam family: Bacterial small subunit ribosomal RNA
Source: RNAcentral